RNAcentral lists this ribosomal RNA (734 nucleotides) under uncultured bacterium. RNAcentral describes it as "bacterial SSU rRNA". It matches the Rfam family "Bacterial small subunit ribosomal RNA", at positions 769 to 1506 of the family's 1533-position model. The record is from RNAcentral.
CAAACAGGAUUAGAUACCCUGGUAGUCCACGCCCUAAACGAUGUACACUAGUUGUUGCUAUACUAGAUAUGGCAGUAAUGCAGUUAACACUUUAAGUGUACCGCCUGGGGAGUACGGUCGCAAGAUUAAAACUCAAAGGAAUAGACGGGGACCCGCACAAGCGGUGGAGCGUGUGGUUUAAUUCGACGAUACGCGAAAGACCUUACCUGGCCUUGACAUAGUAGGAACUUUCUAGAGAUAGAUUGGUGCUAGCUUGCUAGAACCUAUAUACAGGUGCUGCACGGCUGUCGUCAGCUCGUGUCGUGAGAUGUUGGGUUAAGUCCCGCAACGAGCGCAACCCACGUGAUUAGUUGCUAACGGUUCGGCCGAGAACUCUAAUCAGACUGCCUUCGUAAGGAGGAGGAAGGUGUGGACGACGUCAAGUCAUCAUGGCCCUUACGGCCAGGGCUACACACGUGCUACAAUGGGAUAUACAAAGAGCCGCAAUACCGCGAGGUGGAGCAAAUCUAGAAAAUAUCUCUCAGUUCGGAUUGUUCUCUGCAACUCGAGAACAUGAAGUUGGAAUCGCUAGUAAUCGUGGAUCAGCAUUGCCACGGUGAAUACGUUCCCGGGUCUUGUACUCACCGCCCGUCACACCAUGGGAGUUGAUUUCAUUCGAAGCGGGGAUGCUAAAGUAGCUACCUUCCACAAUGGGAUUAGCGACUGGGGUGAAGUGGUAACAAGGUAACCCAAGG